Molecule: ribosomal RNA, 395 nt
Filed under: uncultured bacterium
Lineage: Bacteria
Description: bacterial SSU rRNA
Rfam family: Bacterial small subunit ribosomal RNA
Source: RNAcentral
AUUGAACGCUGGCGGCAUGCCUUACACAUGCAAGUCGAACGGCAGCACGGGAGCAAUCCUGGUGGCGAGUGGCGAACGGGUGAGUAAUAUAUCAGAACGUGCCCAGUCGUGGGGGAUAACGUAGCGAAAGCUACGCUAAUACCGCAUACGAUCUAUGGAUGAAAGCGGGGGAUCGCAAGACCUCGCGCGAUUGGAGCGGCCGAUAUCAGAUUAGGUAGUUGGUGAGGUAAAGGCUCACCAAGCCGACGAUCUGUAGCUGGUCUGAGAGGACGACCAGCCACACUGGGACUGAGACACGGCCCAGACUCCUACGGGAGGCAGCAGUGGGGAAUUUUGGACAAUGGGCGCAAGCCUGAUCCAGCAAUGCCGCGUGCAGGAUGAAGGCCUCGGUGUAA